Molecule: transfer RNA, 73 nt
Filed under: Thermoleophilia bacterium
Lineage: Bacteria; Bacillati; Actinomycetota; Thermoleophilia
Also listed under: 2 other names
Description: tRNA-Ile
Rfam family: tRNA
About the family: Transfer RNA (tRNA) molecules are approximately 80 nucleotides in length.
Source: RNAcentral
GGGCCCGUAGCUCAGCGGUUAGAGCAGCCGGCUCAUAACCGGUUGGUCCCUGGUUCGAAUCCAGGCGGGCCCA